Centruroides sculpturatus (bark scorpion) is the source of this 523-nucleotide long non-coding RNA. RefSeq lists it as uncharacterized. The record is from RefSeq and is a predicted model, not a curated record. Lineage: Eukaryota; Metazoa; Arthropoda; Arachnida; Scorpiones; Buthidae. The transcript has 3 exons.
CGUCAUUUCAAGAGUGAUUUUUCAAAAUUGCGUCAGCAUUAUUGCUCGAUUUGAUUCAACUUUUAUUAAAAAUUAUGCACGAAAUUACACAAUAAUUAUUUUAGACUAAUAUCAUAAUUUUGUCCAGAAAAGCUCAGUACAAAUACCUCUAGCGAUAUAUUUACGAUUUGAUUCGUUGAUGAGAGGUUUCACCAUAAUUAGUACAGCACAAUUUAUACAAUACAAUGUAGCAUAAUAUAUUCAGCGUAUUAAAGGUUCAAUUAUUCUCAUUAUCGAAAAUCUUCGAGGUCUUGAGAUUUCAGGUCAAUUAACAUGUAUGAAAGAAGGAAGAGCGAUGUUCCGAUCCGAAUUAUCUACAAUACAUUGAGGUCUGAGUCGAUUCGACUCUAUUUUUCCUGAUGGCAAGGUGAUAUCUUUACCAUGUCAUAAUGUUGAAAUUACGGAAAAUUGAAAGCAGUGAUUCUGAGGUUGAGAGAGGCCCGAGUUACUUCUCUUUUGAAGGCCCUAGCAUGUUAAAAGAAGC